CACAUCAAUAAAAAUUUUUAAAAAUAAAUUUAAUAUUUUUUUGAAAAACUUAUUAGAGAAUAGUAUUAUAUUUUUCAUAAAUUUUAAAUAAUAUAAAUUUAUAUUUGAGAAUAAAAUUAGUAUUAUAGUAUCCUAUAAUUUUUUUAAUUUAUAUGAACCAAACAAUGAAAUGUGAAUAACUCAUUCCAAUUCCCAAUCCACAAAUAAACCAAACGUCUUGGGGGAGUGGGUCAUUCCAAUUACCAUUCCAAUUCAUUCCCAUUCCAUUAUCCAUUCCAAUUCUACCCUUGAACCAAACAAGCCCUAAUAGUUAAUUUCGUACCGUUCUCUCUAAAUAUAGUUAAUUAUAAAUAUAUUUCUAUAAAAUUUAAUUGUUAUAUAUUACUUUUAUAAAAAUUUUAAUAUUUUCAAAUAUGUCCUUCUGAUUUGUUACUGUUAAAGCAUUGUCAUUUCAUGAGUGAAAUGACCUUUUUACUAUUAUAAAUAUAUCCGUUCAAAAAUCCAAACGGUUAAUUAAAGAAUGAAGGGAGGUAGAAAGAUUAAUUUACCUUAUGAACUAACCAGGGUUAGUUAUUUAAUUUAUGAUUAACUAAAUUUUUUUAACGGAUUCUAGCGAUAGCGACAUAUUUGAAAAUAUCAGAACUUUUGCAGAGACAGCAAAUGAAAAUUGAACUUUGUAGGAAUAUAUUUGCAAUUCACUAUGUUUGCAAGGAUUUGUAUGUAAUUAACCAAAUUUUUAAAGGGUAAACAAGUCAGAUAUGAAACGGAUUUUUAAAUAUUCGAAUCCGAAUCCGACAGUUAAACCCUAAAUCCAAACACAAACUCGAACCCAAUGGAUUAUGAAAAUUCAUAUUCAAAAUCAAACCAAAAUUCAAAAUCCAAAUCUGAAUCCAAAAUAAUUAUUUUUUAUCCUAUUUCAAAAUAUAUUAUAUUUAAAUCUAAAAUUUUAAAAUAUAAAUUCAAAUAUAACUUCAAACACACACACAUACAUAUAGAGCUAGGCUCCUAUACUUUCGAAAGUACGGAGGCCUCCGUGUUUAUAAGUUGUUUUCGAUGAUGAGACAUCCGAUUUGGUGAUCGGUUCCGUUAGAUAUGAUCUACGCUAUUGUAAUUAUUUAGAAACCAAAUUUCAUAAAUUUUUUACUUCAUUUGCCUAGUGAACGAGUAGCCGAAAAAUGAACGGCUAAAAAUAAAAAUCUCAUAAAAAAUAGUGUCAAAAGACUCAAAUUUAAAUCAGAAGUAUUGAUCUUGUAAAAUUUUCAAUUAAAGUUUUGUGUAAUUUGGACUGUUCUACAUUGUUGAACUUAAAAACGUGCCACAUCGACCAUUAAAAUAGUUAUUUUCUAUACCUUUAGAUCACAUGGUAAAUAAUGUCGAAAAAUUAUAAAUUUGGUUUCUAGAAAGUUCCAAUAACGUAGAUUAUGCGCGCCUAACGGAGUCGAUCAUUAAAUUGAAUGUCAUAUCAUCAAAAACUACUUACAAGUGCGUAGGGUUCUGUACUUUCAAAAGUACAGUAGACGUACUAUAUAUAUAUAUAUAUAUAUAUAUAUAUAUAUAUAUAUAUAUAUAUAUAUAAUGUGAUGUAAAAUUAGUUCAGAUUCGAAUUGGAUAUAGACAAAAUUCAUAACCGAAUCCAAAUUCAAAUCUGUCAUAUUUUCGUUUUCUAUAUUUAUAAUUAAAAUCAUAUCUAAACUCAUCCAAUUCGGGUUCGGCUACGGAUAUAAUU
RNAcentral lists this long non-coding RNA (1726 nucleotides) under Ananas comosus (pineapple). RNAcentral describes it as "long non-coding RNA (ACOM_LNC027184)". The record is from RNAcentral. Lineage: Eukaryota; Viridiplantae; Streptophyta; Magnoliopsida; Poales; Bromeliaceae.